This 373-nucleotide ribosomal RNA is filed under the name uncultured eukaryote. RNAcentral describes it as "partial 18S ribosomal RNA". It matches the Rfam family "Eukaryotic small subunit ribosomal RNA", at positions 592 to 976 of the family's 1831-position model. The record is from RNAcentral.
CAAUAGCGUAUAUUAAAGUUGUUGUAGUUAAAAAGCUCGUAGUUGAAUUUUUGCUUGCCGCCGAUGUCGGAACUUCCGUACGUUCGGCGGCGUGCAUCCUUGGGUGGAACCUGUGUGGCAUUAGGUUGUCGUGCAGGGGAUGCUCAUCGUUUACUGUGAAAAAAUUAGAGUGUUCAAAGCAGGCUUACGCCGUUGAAUAUAUUAGCAUGGAAUAAUAAGAUAGGACCUUGGUACUAUUUUGUUGGUUUGCGCACCGAGGUAAUGAUUAACAGGGACAGUUGGGGGUAUUCGUAUUCCAUUGUCAGAGGUGAAAUUCUUGGAUUUCUGGAAGACGAACUACUGCGAAAGCAUUUACCAAGGAUGUUUUCAUUAA